GAUGAACGCUAGCUACAGGCUUAACACAUGCAAGUCGAGGGGCAGCAUGACGAGUGCUUGCACUUGUUGAUGGCGACCGGCGCACGGGUGCGUAACGCGUAUCGAACCUUCCCCUUACUCGGGAAUAGCCCGGUGAAAACCGGAUUAAUGCCCGAUGUGGUCCAGCGAGGACAUCUGACCCGGACCAAAGAAUUUGUCGGUUAAGGAUGGGGAUGCGUCUGAUUAGCUUGUUGGCGGGGUAACGGCCCACCAAGGCUACGAUCAGUAGGGGUUCUGAGAGGAAGGUCCCCCACAUUGGAACUGAGACACGGUCCAAACUCC
Molecule: ribosomal RNA, 321 nt
Filed under: uncultured Prevotella sp.
Lineage: Bacteria; Pseudomonadati; Bacteroidota; Bacteroidia; Bacteroidales; Prevotellaceae
Description: bacterial SSU rRNA
Rfam family: Bacterial small subunit ribosomal RNA
Source: RNAcentral